Unclassified non-coding RNA from Pongo abelii (Sumatran orangutan), 148 nucleotides. It matches the Rfam family "Metazoan signal recognition particle RNA". From Rfam's summary of the family: The signal recognition particle (SRP) is a universally conserved ribonucleoprotein. It is involved in the co-translational targeting of proteins to membranes. The record is from Ensembl. NCBI's taxonomy places the organism in Eukaryota, Metazoa, Chordata, Mammalia, Primates, Hominidae.
GCUGGGCAUGGUGGUGCAUGCCUGUAAUCCCAGCUACUUGGGAGGCUGAGGCAUGAGAAUUGCUUGAACCUGGGAGGCAGAGGUUGCAGUGAGGUGAGAUCGUGCCACUGCACUCCAGCCUGGGUGACAGAGUAAGACUCUGUCUCAA